RNAcentral lists this ribosomal RNA (497 nucleotides) under uncultured bacterium. Its description in RNAcentral is "partial 16S ribosomal RNA". It matches the Rfam family "Bacterial small subunit ribosomal RNA", at positions 28 to 507 of the family's 1533-position model. The record is from RNAcentral.
GACGAACGCUGGCGGCGUGCCUAAUACAUGCAAGUUGAGCGCUGAAGGUUGGUACUUGUACCAACUGGAUGAGCAGCGAACGGGUGAGUAACGCGUGGGGAAUCUGCCUUUGAGCGGGGGACAACAUUUGGAAACGAAUGCUAAUACCGCAUAAAAACUUUAAACACAAGGUUUAAGUUUGAAAGAUGCAAUUGCAUCACUCAAAGAUGAUCCCGCGUUGUAUUAGCUAGUUGGUGAGGUAAAGGCUCACCAAGGCGAUGAUACAUAGCCGACCUGAGAGGGUGGUCGGCCACAUUGGGACUGGGACACGGCCCAACCUCCUACGGGGGGCAGCAGUAGGGAAUCUUCGGCAAUGGACGAAAGUCUGACCGAGCAACGCCGCGUGAGUGGAGAAGGUUUUCGGAUCGUUAAACUCUGUUGGUAGGGAAGAACGUUGGUGAGAGUGGAAAGCUCAUCAAGUGACGGUAACUACCCAGAAAGGGACGGCUAACUACGUG